CACAGAUGGAAACAUCCUUCAUACGUGUUUGAAGCAGGAGUUCCAGGCAGACUUUGACUUCUCCAGGUGUUUGGAGAAGAAGGUUUCAGCCAACCAGAGUAGAUGAUCUUGUUUUAACAGAAACUGCAUUUCAAACAUCCACCGAAUAAAAACCAACGUUUCCUGCUUCAGGUCAGUUCGUUUAACCUGAUUUAUUAUUUACUAAAUGCCAGAAUAAAGAGAGAAGUUUUUAUUACUUCCUUCAAUGUCAGAAGUUUACAUACACCAAGAUCCCUGAUGAUGUCAUGAUGACGUAAGCUUCUGAUUUCACAACAUUUGAGCUGAUCAGAAAGUAGGCGGGUUUUGGUCUUAAGUGUUGGUAUUAACCCCAGAACAGAAGCUAAAGACCUUGUGAAGAUGCUGCUGAAACUGAUGAGAGUCAUUGUCCACAUUGAAACUGGUCCUGCACCAAUAUGGACUGGAAGGCUAAUGGUCAGAGAGGAUUAUGUACAGAAAUCUGACGUGCUUGUUAAUGCAGAGAGUUAUUCCUGCCCGAAGUGGCCUAAAUAAAGUAAUAUUCCUCUGAAUAUGUUCUGGUCCUGGACUAAAAAAGCUGCCAAAGUCCAAGAAAAACUCUAAAAGACCUUCAGAAAGUCCAUAGAACCAUUGAUCAGGACCUCUGUAGCAGAUUACAGGAAAGUUCUGGAUCACAGGAAGAAGGAAGGUCUGGUUUUAGACCGAGGUGGAACCACCUAGAUGAAGUUCAUGAGUGAUUGACCUACUCAGCAGCAGCAGGUGUUGAUGAACACCAUCCAUCACAGACAGCAGCAGGUCUGGUUCUGGAUCAGAGUUUUCUGGACGAGUUUCCUGGUGUGGAUACUUUGCUCCAGCAGAUUACAGAACCAAAUAUGUUUCACGUGUUUGUGGAAAGUUGAAGACAUUUCAGACAGAAAUGAAAGGUCCAAAGAUCUUCACUUUAGUUUCCUCCUCAUCAGAACAUCUGAGAAACAAACCGCAGAUGUUCCUGGCAGGUACAUCUGAAAUGGACCAAGAGAUCCAGAUCAGUUACUGUGGUGAUGGAGCUCAGAGAUUCUGUUUAUCUUGUCUUUAAGCAUUUUGAGGUCCAAACUAUUAACAGCUCUGAUCAGAAACAGGACCAGAACCCAUAUCUAUGAAAGAGGUUUUCUCUCAUUAUAAAAAAUGCAACAAAAUCUAAAAUAAUUUCAUUAAUUUUCUCAGAUCUUCAGGAUGUUCCAGAUCAUCAGUUCAAACAAUGGUGCAUGAACCAGCUGCAACAUCUGUAACCAUAGUAACCACGGGAAGGCGGGCCGUUGGUCCGUUCAUUAAUCAUCUCCUCUGAUUACUUUAGCAUCUGGAACCAGCAGGGGAUAAACUGAAGCCCUGCCUUGUGCUCCAUUCAGGUGCUGCCUUGUGCUCUUAGAAGUUUCUCCUUCAACCUUCAUACGUCUCCCAGCCAAGUCAUAAUCCCUCUAGCUGGAAAGUUGGGAUUUAAUUCACUAAAAUUAAAACAACUGAUUCAAAUUGAUUACAUUUUUCAGGAAAAUCAUCAUUUCAUGUAUAUAAAGGAAAAACCAAUGAAAUACCGAAAGAGAAAAAUAAAUCAAACUUUUUUUUUUCAGUUUAGUUUUUACCAAACAAAAACUGAACAACCAGUUGCAACAAUAACAAAACAUUAGACAUAAUUUUCAUAUUGUAACAUGUUUAUUUAUGACAGUUUGAUUAGUUUAAGAAGACAAACCAGUUUAUGCCCUAAUAUACCAUUUACAGAACCAGUUCAUGUUCCCAGUGUGAUUCAGUGCAUUAAGAUGCUAAAAACAUUUCUGAACUCUGGAGCUGAUUUAAAUGUAUUUUAAACAUGAAUAAAAAUACAAUAUUAAGA
Molecule: long non-coding RNA, 1879 nt
Organism: Girardinichthys multiradiatus
Lineage: Eukaryota; Metazoa; Chordata; Actinopteri; Cyprinodontiformes; Goodeidae
Exons: 2
Source: RefSeq, a predicted model, not a curated record